AUGAUCCAAAUUAUGCCAUUCCGAGUUCGUGGAAGGACUCCUGAUGAUGUGAUGACACCUAGGCAGGGUUUGCAACUACUGAUACAGACCAAUAUUUUGCAACAUUGGCCAGAUGAUAUUGAACUAGCGCACUUCAAUGCAUUCCUCAUUAACCCAAAUAUAAACAUAAGGAAACAAGAUGUCCUCGAUCAUCCAUUCCUAGUCACAGUCCCCCACGUUAGGGAGAGCAAGUAUAAAAGAUUAUAUGAAAAAGGAAUUUUUUUUACCGAUGACCAAAUAGAUUGGUUGGAGAAACAUAUCUUCUUACAGGGGUGGCAACGCAAUGUUGGAGACCCGUCUCUUACAGCGAUUCUGGACCAUCAAAUUGAAGUUACCCGGGGGGUGGGGUUUGCUCAAACAGUUUUUGGAGCCUUGCACUUUGCCAAAGUAGUCAUAGCUCAUUAUCACCAGUAUGAUAUUAAUAGGCGGCCUCUUCUUGAUGAUGAUCUCAGGCAUUUUCUGCAAGGACUUCUUACUGGAGUAUAUGGUGCUAGGUUUAAUGAGGAAUUUAUUGCUUUGGGCCUGAAGCUUAAUGAGGAAUUUAUUGCUGAGGACCCGGCGCUUAAUGAUGAAUUUAUUGCAGAGGGCUAG
This 630-nucleotide ribosomal RNA is filed under the name Triticum aestivum (bread wheat). RNAcentral's name for it is "partial small subunit ribosomal RNA". The record is from RNAcentral. Lineage: Eukaryota; Viridiplantae; Streptophyta; Magnoliopsida; Poales; Poaceae.